CAAUUACGUCGUGAUAACGUAAUUGCUUGUGAUCCUGCCUCACAUCAUCUCUCCCCAGAGCAUCAUUGAUGUCUAGUGGCAAAAAAAGUCAGAAGGACUGGAGAUGGUAUGGGAUGUAGUAGAUGACCGUGACUUCUUCA
This 140-nucleotide long non-coding RNA is filed under the name Monodelphis domestica (gray short-tailed opossum). RNAcentral's name for it is "lncRNA (ENSMODG00000043859.1)". Lineage: Eukaryota; Metazoa; Chordata; Mammalia; Didelphimorphia; Didelphidae. The record is from RNAcentral.